Coffea arabica (coffee) is the source of this 305-nucleotide long non-coding RNA. RefSeq lists it as uncharacterized. The record is from RefSeq and is a predicted model, not a curated record. NCBI's taxonomy places the organism in Eukaryota, Viridiplantae, Streptophyta, Magnoliopsida, Gentianales, Rubiaceae.
UUGCUGAGCUCAACCUAUUAUCCACUGGAUCCAAUCUAAGACGUGCAGUAGCAGAGAAAAUCACAUCAAUUGAAGGAAAAAGAUGAAAACUUUUAUGGGAUGCAAAUGCAAGUACUUGUGGAUAUAUUCCAUCCUUUUCUGUCCUCCAAAGAGUGAGGAAGAAAAGGAAGAACAACCUCUGUGAAAUUUGUGGAGGAUGGCAAAAAAUUGUGGUAAAACUCCUGCUCCUAUUUUUUUCACUGUACUUUGGGCCUUUUGUUUUUAGAUUUUAAUAUUCUUCUCUUAAAUACUAGCUUUGAGUGAAU